Non-coding RNA from Delphinapterus leucas (beluga whale), 472 nucleotides. The record is from RefSeq and is a predicted model, not a curated record. Lineage: Eukaryota; Metazoa; Chordata; Mammalia; Artiodactyla; Monodontidae.
UGGUUUGUCUUCUCAUCCACAGCAGAGUUCAAAAUGAGCACAGAUUCCCCACAGAGCAAGUGCUAUGAACAAUGCAGCAGAUCAUCUGCCUUUGGAUUUUCUUUCUACUGUCAGGAAGUCUCCUUCUCCAUAUUUAGGAAAAUGGAUGCCUACAGCCACAGAUGCAGAUCCUCCUGGUGGCUACUGUGCCAACUCUCAUUGCAGGUAGCUAGUGAUUUCAAGAGCUGCAGAGUCGAGGCUGAAGUGCUCUGUCUGUGGAACAUAUCUCAGCAUAUGAUGCAUUUUCAGGAAUUCAAGAGGUAUCAAAAGGAGACAAAAUGUAUGUUAGGACUCAGGCAUUCCAUUAUUCCAUUAUUUCCAAGAUGAAGGAGCAAGAGAAUGGAAAUAGAAGAUCACAGGGUUGCGUGAGCAGUGACAAACAGAACACCAUGGGGUAAGUUACUGUGUUAGAUUUUACUAUAAGAGGGAGAAG